This is a long non-coding RNA of Pseudopipra pipra, 7469 nucleotides long. RefSeq lists it as uncharacterized. The record is from RefSeq and is a predicted model, not a curated record. Lineage: Eukaryota; Metazoa; Chordata; Aves; Passeriformes; Pipridae. The transcript has 3 exons.
UUGCUGCAUCGUGAUGUUAGAGGCAGAAGGGUCACGCAGGCAACUGCAAAGCUGUGGCAUCAAGAGGAUCCCAGAAAAGCUCUGCUGUGAGGACGAGCAGAAGUGCAGAAGCUGCAGAACAGUGAGAUCAGUCUUGUCCCAGCGUCCGCCAGAGAGGACGAACCGCUUCUGCCGGUUGCGCCCGCUCUGUCCGUCCGUCAGCACCGGGAGGUCGGGCACGCCGCACCGGGGGGGGUUCCAGCGUGCCACCUGCUCCUCUGUACCCACAGGGAAGCCCUUGGCAGGCACACCAGUCCCCACAGCGUUCACCAAGGAGGAUAGCCAAGGAGCCUGCUCCUUCCAGGUGUGAUGCUUUCGAGACAUCUCCUAAAAGGCAAAAGCAAAGCCAUGACUUCAGCGCCUGGAAAGACACUUCUUGAUGUGGAGUCAGUGGACAUCAGCAGUCCUGACGCGGGCCAGAAUGAACAGGACAGCUGCUCCCAGGCACAUGGGGAGAGAGGAGAUGGACCCCUGGGAGAGCCCUCACUGUGGAACUGGGAGCACUGGAAAACCCUCAGGAGUUGCCCAGGUAGGUGAGUGGGAUGAGGCUGACCCGGAUGGGCUUACUCCUGUUUUUUGUCUGGACGACACUAAGCACAUUCCCCCUCCUGGGAAGGCCAGCUGCCUUACAGGCUGGGGAUACUGGCACAAACUGGAGAUCAUCACUCUCCUCUGAGCAAGAGCAGAGAGAGGAGAAACUACCUGUUUCCUUCUUGUCCCAAGAAAUCCCAUGUUCAGAGGCAGGCCAGAGGUAGUUUUUCUCUCCCCUCUUUGAUUAGCUCAAGGCCACUGGCAUGAAUCCCAGCCUUUCAAACCCCACCUUGCCUUAGCCAGGACCCUUCCUGCUCCCUCCUGCCUGCCCUGUGCAGAGACCCAGCCCUGGGAGGGCUGGUCCUGCGAAUGGCUCUGGGUGGAGGCAGGGGGGAAGACCUUCCCUGCUGCCCUGAGCUGUGCCCCUGGACAAACAGUAACUCUCUCCCUGUCGUCACUGCACCAACAUUAGGACCAUGGCAGGAAAGGGCUGGAAAAUGCCACUGCAGGCACAGCCAGCAAGGGGAAAUGUGACAGGCAGAAACCACUUGCCAAACAAUACUCAGGAGACACUCGGGCUGGAGAUCUUGGUCUCCUUGGCUGGACACACCUUGCUGCAGGCACUUCCCGGGGCUUAGAUAACGUGUCCGCUCACUUAAGGUUGUAUCCUUCCCACCCAGCACUGAGCCCACCCUCUCCUGGGGAGACCUUGCUUAGUUCUCAGAGCUGUGGUACAAUGCCCUGGCUGCAUCCUUAGGGCUUCACUUAGGGCUGUGCUGCUGCUGAAACCAGUACAGACCUGUAAGGAGAGGGUGAGGAGGGCACUGGCUGCUGGGUACCUGUCGGGGCAUCCCCACUCCUCCCAUCCCACCAGCAGAGGGAAAGGGAUUGCUGAACACAAAAGCAAAGGAAAACCCCUGCAGCCCGGGGCAGGGUUCAGCCCAGCUGAGUGCAAAACAUAUCUGAGCAUCUGGCUGAGUGUGUGCAGCCACUUGCUCUGCCCUUCCCAGUAUAACCAGCAGUUGGGGUGGCCACUGUGCCCGGGAACAGCUGGUUUGUAGUCAAGGAAGAGGCCAGGGCUUUGCAAUGGAGACUGAGCAGCAAAAUGCCAGCACAGUAUGAGCACAGAGGGGCUGCUAGGCCUGAGACCAAUGGUGGGGACAGUGGAGAAGCAAAGCUGUACACAGAGUGCUGUGGUGCAGACUGGUCACAGCUCCUCACAAAGAACGUGCCUCUUCCUGCAGCCUUGUGACUGAGAGGCUGAGAGGGAAUGGGAGGGAAUGGACAGAUCCCAUGGGAGACCAGAAACCACAGCGGAGGUACAGGCUGCCCACUCAGUUCCUUACAGCUUUAUCAGUGCUGCGAUACAACAGCCAUCACUUCUGGGUCUAACGGGGCCAGAUGAACACCAGCCAAGCUUCCCAGGAAGCGUCCCAGCCAUCCCAAGGAGCCAGGAGCAUCUUUAACCUCAUUGUGUUGGGCAGCACUCGCCCUCCAGAGCUCCCAGGAGGAGCAGCAGCCAGAGCAGCACAGCUACAGUCAAGUAUCAGCAACACCCCGUUUGAAUGAGAGAGGCCGGUGCCUGGUACUGACAAACCCACUCUCUCCUCUGCCUGGGUCCAUCCUCCUCUGCCUGCCCUGAACUUAAACUUGUGUCCUCUGUUGUGUACCUAAUUACCUGGGCUCCUGUCUGCUUCUGCAGCAUGGACAUGAAAGGAGACCCCUCUCCCUGUCAGACAGGAGUGAUUGGACAAGUUACAACAUGAAUCCCAUCAGUUUUGGAUAUCUCCCCUGUCAUUGGGGCUGUUUCCUUUUCUGCUGGGGAAUGAGCUCAUGGACUGUCUUCCCACCUCCCUGUCCCUUCUGUUGCUGGUUUUCCAUUUCUCCCUGCUUUCUUCUUCCAUUACUCAGAGUGUUUGUCAAGGCCUUGGUGUUUGCUGCCUCUCUGGCUAGUAGCAUUACCCUCCUUCCACCUACGAGCCUGCACAUUGGAGCACUCCUGCCCUUAUUUCAAUGCACUGGGAAGGACAGCAGAGAUGCUUUCACCUGCAGCUCUCAUGUAAAACAGUUCUCUCAUGCCAUUUCUGCCCACUGUGGGGUGUCUGUGCCCCCCAAGGGGCUUGCACCCCCUUAAGAGCAAUGUUCCUGCCUGAGAUCAGCACUAUUGUCCUGAUGCACAGGGUACCAUGGCCGGCUUUUUAUUGAGCCUGCCUCUCAGCCCAGCAUGGCUUUGCAGGGGUUGGAUUUGAAACUGCAGCUACAGCUGAUGGUUAGUGGUAAAACUGCAGUCAGGUUGUGUCCCAGAAGCAAACUGGCCCAGGAAGGUGCUGCAGCUUAACUUUCACAGCAGAAGCACAUUACUGUGGUCUGGUCUGACCCUGAGCUAAGUGUGUUCCUGGUCAAGGCACUGUUAGUGGAAACAACACCUAGGCAAAGCCACCAGAUUUAUUGAUCCUACCUCCUCCAGAACAAGGCAGAGUCUCCCAACCCCUCUAACUAUGAAUUCUUUCCUUACACAAAAUACUUCUGCUACAGGACUGGCUCCUUUGUGCUGGGCUGCAGGCAGAGCCAGGGAGAACACAAAGGCUGAGGCCAAAUGGGAGCUGCUGCAGUGCCUGGCCAUGCAGUUGGAUAUUCCUCUCCACUCACUUCCCAUACUCUGUGGCACCAUCCAGCACUACCUCCUGGGGCCUGACAGUUUGUUUCCGGAUUACUUGCUGGUAGUUGUUGUUGGCAACAAAAAAAGAAAAAUGUUUAUUUUUCCUAAGCAACGUUGAACAUGAAACAUUAUGGACUGCAAAUGUUUAUGCCCACAGACAGAAUGAGAAGAACCAGGCCUUCGAGUAACAAGAGAAAGCAAAUGAAUAAACACUGCACGACUAUUUUUAUUAUCAGACAUUUUAAUUAUGUGACAAUUUGUGAGUCUAUUCCAUCAACAACACCAAAACCAAACUGCUAGUGUCACCCAAGCAACAGUUUGCCAGAAACAGGACUACUUACAGAGCAAACAAACCCCAGGAUGCCGGGAUAGCAAAAGGUUUCAAGAGCCCUUAAUCUGAUGACCUAGAAAUCCCCUUGAACCUAAGAAACAGCUCUAGGAUGCAGCAAACUCCCGGCAGGGGAGGAAGGGGGUUGAGGUGUUUUGUUCAUUGUGCAGUUACAUCCAAGCUAAGGUGAGCCAUGAACAAUGGCUGGGAUGUCUCCCACUGGGUUUGACCACCCAUCACAGUGCAGCCCUCUCCAGAGCUAUGGGGGGAUGUUUUAGCCUCAGGGAGUGCAGGAUGCUCAAAUGUGCAGUCUGGGAUCUCCACACCCACAAGACAAGCACUUUUCCCCUGCCCAAUCUCCUGGAGAUGUCAGGGGGGUUUUCCUCCUCUGGUAGCUUUCGGAGUCACUUUUGUGAGAUGUCUUUCUCCUGCCCAAAGACUACUAAGAGGAGAUCUGCUCACCUGUCUGUCCUUGUUGGGACUCAUCUGCACCAGGAUCUCAGUGAACCUCUAAAAACAUGUCUGUGGCCCUCAGUGAACCCCUGAAGUGCUCUGCUUUUCACUUUGCUAGGCAGCUAUGUGCAAACUCAGCAGUGCUUCCAUUCACAUCACAGGCUGAGCCAUCCCCAGAGUAAGAAUAUCCAGGGAGCUUUCAUUUACCUGUCUGCGUAUUUGGAAUUAGUAGGAAAGAGCUACUUAGUAGGAAAGAGGAUGACCAGCAUCUCUGCAGGCCAAUUUUCCGCAGAAGAUUCUUUUCAAACAAGUCCUGUGUGGUGCAUCCUUUCUGCAGAGCCCCACAAGGUGUGGUGCAAGGGCAGGACAAGUGUGGGGGAAGCAGGGAAAGUGCAACAUAAGCUGGAGAGGGGGAUCCUCCCCAGGGUUCUUCUCUCCUCCCUGCCCUUUUCUCCCUCCCGGAUCCGCUUUGCCAGCUGCACCUCCCAGGUCUUGCCACACCGCAGGGUGUGCGUGCGUGUUGCAUGUGGAAGCACAAACACAACAAACCCGCUGGAGAAUAACUGCUUACAUGUGUCUUGAGUCUCUCCCAGAGCAGAAGAUAAACAUGCCUAAAAUUACCCCAACACUGACUGUAGCAUUCAAAUAGCCAAACCAAAGAGUGCAAAUACAGCCCUUCCUGCGGGAGCUGCCUGAACCCCGAGCAAGGCAAGCAGCCUCCCCGGCUCCUCGGCUGCGGGGAAGGCACCGCUGUGCUUCCAGCGGGGAACCUGCUGCGUUCGGGGUGAGAGCUGCAGGACACGGAUUACGUUGGCAGCUGGGAGGGUGCCCACCACUUCUCCACGGAGGGAGAGCUUCCCAGCAAAUGGACAGACUUUGAUUUCCCAGGGGAGCUGAAAGCAAUGCAGGAAUUCAGUGUCUGCGCGUGCACAGCCCCAAGGACUGCAGAUCUUUUGUUCUCAAGUUUUACAGUGGACACCAGACACAGCCUUUAUUCUGCUCUCAGUUUUCUCUUUCUUUCUUUAGGCAUUAAUAUAAAAGUGAAGGAGAUCUACAGGGUUUGCCUCGAAGAACACAAGUCCUCCUGCAACUUGCCCUGUAGCCUGGCUUUAAAAUGAAUCUUGGCCCUUGAUUCCCUCCUUUCAGAGUUACUGGUGUUGUGACUUGUUAUUGGAGCACAAACAGCCAUGGUGCAGCACACUGCUGCACCGAGGGCUGUCCUUGCCCACCCCCUCUACCAGCACAGCCCGAGGAAGUCACCUUUGUCUGUCUUAUUGGAGUGUGAAUCUCUUUUACCAGCUCAGCCUCUUGGCUCCUUUCUCAUUCAUCACCCAACAGCAAAAGGUGGCCAGACAGGAAAUUAGCUGCUGUCAGACAUCAGGGAAACAUCCCUUUGUGCAGAGAGACUCCAAGUAGCCAGAGAAGGGAACAUGAUGCAGCUCUCUAGCAAGAGAGGGUAGAGAAAAGCUGAGGCCAGAUGCACAUGCACGGGUCCCUGUCAGCCCAGCAAUCCCACAUCAGCUAUCCUGCACUGACAUGUGUUUCCCAGGAGGAGAGGAAUGGGGUGCACUGCCAACUUACAUCAUAUGUGAGAGCAACCCCCAGGUAAUAGUGGCUUUACCUCACAGGCAGUAGAAUAACCUUCAGAAGCCUUGACAUCAGAUAAGGAACCCAAAAGGGCAGCUAUUUGGGACGACAGAACUGCUGUUUGAAAGGAUGGGAAAUCAUCUGUCCGUUUCCAAUCCCAAACCAAUGCAGCCACCAUCUCUGCAAAGACUGAAAUACAUUGAUCCAAAACUCUGAGCCCCACAUGGCUGGUCAAACACACAAGCACAAGGUAUUCCUGAACAAAACAUACCUGUAGGAGCAUCACCUGGAGUUACUCCAGCCAAGAGGAAAGCAUCAGCAUUCACAAUGCAGAGCAUUAGCCUAGGAUGAGGAAGAAACCAGAUUGCCACCUGGGGGGAACCUUCUUCUGGAGCAUGGUGGUGGAUUAGGUGGACCAGAAGCCUGAGCAAACCUGGACCUCUGCAUUAACUCUGUGCUCUUCAGCAAUUUGCUGUGUUCCCCACUUCAAGGGGUACUGUCCAAGGCAGGUGAGCCCCAGCAACCUCUGCAGUCAGUCAGCAGCUGCGAGCACUGGUAAAAGGACAGUGACGCCACAGCUGGACCGGGCCCAAAGUCAGAUGGUGUGAAACCCAGGCUGGCUCUCCCUUCCCUGGAGAUCCCACACAGGUCUUUGCUGGCAACAAGACCAGGACCAGAGGCUGUGCAGGUCCCCCCAGGAGCAGCAGCUUCACAGCUUGCACACAUCAGAGCGUGAGGCACCUGCCAGCCCAGCCCACGUCCCGCAGGAACCGGCGGUCUCCAGCUUAACGCAGGUGGAGCUCUGCCCUCCCUUGCUGCACUCCAAUGGGGCUGAAAUCCACGGUGGUGUCAUUACUGGAGUGCAGAGUGCCACCACCGAGUGCUUGGUCUCACCUUCCUCAGAGGCAGAGCGGAGCCAAACACAGUGACAUUUCAUUUGGAAUAACACAAGCACUUUGGGGGCCAAAGCUGCUCUGUGCCAAGUCCCAGCCCACAGCAUAUUUAGCAGCCAAGUUAGAAAGUACUCAGAUGACAGAGCUGAUAAUAAAACCAUCGACAGAACCUGAACUAAUCCCCUUGGGCUGCUACCGGGCAUUUGCUCUGUUAUUAUUUCAUGGCACACCAGCGAAGCGCAUGUCUAUAAUAACCCAAUUACGCACGCACACAUUCCCAGCACAAGGAGCUCUCUGUCUUCUCCCGUCCCCCAAAUCCCUCGCACACCGCUGCUCUUCUCUGGCAGCCGCAGUCCCUGCUGCUCGCAGCUCCGUCCCAGGUGCUGGGAUCGGGCAGGCAUGUGCAGAAAGAAAGAGCCCCGCUGCUCCUCUCCUGCCUGCGCCUUUGAUUCAUCCCUUUAGUCUCCUCUCUCCGUAACACUUCUCAGAACUUCCAGCACAGCUUGCGGGGGGUGUUUGAGCAGCAGCGAGUGCUCUGCUGCCUCUAAAGCAGAGGGGAUCCCGUGUCCUCUCCUAAACCCUCCUUAUCCCGAUCCCUGUUUUUCUCUCGGGAGCACGCCUGUGGAACCUCCCCUAACAUGUCAAGAGGAGCCCGCCGAGCGGAGCCACCGCCGGGGCAGGGGCAGCCGUCCCGCGGCGGUGCCUCAAGGCAGCGCUGCCCGUGCCGGCAACCCGAGGGCGGCUCGGGGAUGGAUGGAAACGGUGUGGGGGGAAGACGGCUCAUCCCGUUCAGCGGAGGGUCUGCCUGGGAGAUGCUGCCCUCGGGACCGCACCGGAGAGCGGCGGGGGGCACGGAGAGAGGCACCGGGUGGUCCCGACUCACCGGCUUGUGUCGGCGGGCGGGCGCGGCGGGCGCGCAGUGCAGCAGAGCGGCGGCCAGCAAGGCGGCGGCGGCGGGCAGCGGGGCACGGGCCAUGCC